This 74-nucleotide transfer RNA is filed under the name Meira sp. (in: smut fungi & allies). RNAcentral's name for it is "Meira sp. tRNA-Asp". It matches the Rfam family "tRNA". Rfam says of the family: Transfer RNA (tRNA) molecules are approximately 80 nucleotides in length. Their secondary structure includes four short double-helical elements and three loops (D, anti-codon, and T loops). The record is from RNAcentral. Lineage: Eukaryota; Fungi; Basidiomycota; Exobasidiomycetes; Exobasidiales; Brachybasidiaceae.
GGGAGUUUAGCAUAAUCGGUUAAUGCCCUAAGUUGUCAAUUUAGUCUAUGCCAGUUCAAGUCUGGUAGCUCUCA